GCGGACGAGGACGAGAUGAUAUUUUCUCUUGUCUCCGUGAUUGCAGAAAAGGAAAACGACCGGUUCUUUUAUAAAAAUUUUGGUUACUGAACUACCCUUGUGUUUUUUAAAUGACCUUGAUAGUUGGGUAUAUUACAAAUAUGGAUUCCUGGAGAAGUGACAUUUUAGUUGCCUGGCUUGAACUGGAAAGACUUACACAUUGCUGCUUUGUAGAUGUUGGGGAUCAACCAAUUCACC
RNAcentral lists this long non-coding RNA (237 nucleotides) under Theobroma cacao (cacao). RNAcentral's name for it is "long non-coding RNA (TCAC_LNC002077)". The record is from RNAcentral. Lineage: Eukaryota; Viridiplantae; Streptophyta; Magnoliopsida; Malvales; Malvaceae.